RNAcentral lists this ribosomal RNA (1373 nucleotides) under uncultured bacterium. RNAcentral's name for it is "bacterial SSU rRNA". It matches the Rfam family "Bacterial small subunit ribosomal RNA". The record is from RNAcentral.
AGAGUUUGAUCCUGGCUCAGGACGAACGCUGGCGGCGCGCCUAACACAUGCAAGUCGAACGAGCGAGAGAGAGCUUGCUUUCUCGAGCGAGUGGCGAACGGGUGAGUAACGCGUGAGGAACCUGCCUCAAAGAGGGGGACAACAGUUGGAAACGACUGCUAAUACCGCAUAAGCCCACAGCUCGGCAUCGAGCAGAGGGAAAAGGAGCAAUCCGCUUUGAGAUGGCCUCGCGUCCGAUUAGCUAGUUGGUGAGGUAAUGGCCCACCAAGGCGACGAUCGGUAGCCGGACUGAGAGGUUGAACGGCCACAUUGGGACUGAGACACGGCCCAGACUCCUACGGGAGGCAGCAGUGGGGAAUAUUGCACAAUGGGGGAAACCCUGAUGCAGCGACGCCGCGUGAAGGAAGAAGGUCUUCAGAUUGUAAACUCCUGUUGUUGAGGAAGAUAAUGACGGUACUCAACAAGGAAGUGACGGCUAACUACGUGCCAGCAGCCGCGGUAAAACGUAGGUCACAAGCGUUGUCCGGAAUUACUGGGUGUAAAGGGAGCGCAGGCGGGAAGACAAGUUGGAAGUGAAAUCUAUGGGCUCAACCCAUAAACUGCUUUCAAAACUGUUUUUCCUGAGUAGUGCAGAGGUAGGCGGAAUUCCCGGUGUAGCGGUGGAAUGCGUAGAUAUCGGGAGGAACACCAGUGGCGAAGGCGGCCUACUGGGCACCAACUGACGCUGAGGCUCGAAAGUGUGGGUAGCANACAGGAUUAGAUACCCUGGUAGUCCACACCGUAAACGAUGAUUACUAGGUGUUGGAGGAUUGACCCCUUCAGUGCCGCAGUUAACACAAUAAGUAAUCCACCUGGGGAGUACGACCGCAAGGUUGAAACUCAAAGGAAUUGACGGGGGCCCGCACAAGCAGUGGAGUAUGUGGUUUAAUUCGACGCAACGCGAAGAACCUUACCAAGUCUUGACAUCCUGCGACGGACAUAGAAAUAUGUCUUUCCUUCGGGACGCAGAGACAGGUGGUGCAUGGUUGUCGUCAGCUCGUGUCGUGAGAUGUUGGGUUAAGUCCCGCAACGAGCGCAACCCUUACUGUCAGUUACUACGCAAGAGGACUCUGGCAGGACUGCCGUUGACAAAACGGAGGAAGGUGGGGAUGACGUCAAAUCAUCAUGCCCUUUAUGACUUGGGCUACACACGUACUACAAUGGCGUUAAACAAAGAGAAGCAAGACCGCGAGGUGGAGCAAAACUCAGAAACAACGUCCCAGUUCGGACUGCAGGCUGCAACUCGCCUGCACGAAGUCGGAAUUGCUAGUAAUCGUGGAUCAGCAUGCCACGGUGAAUACGUUCNCCGGGCCCUUGUACACACCGCCCGUNNC